GGUCCAUUAGUCUAGUGGUUAGGACACUGGAUUUUGAUGUCUGCAUGGUUGUCUUUCCAGGAACGCCGGUUCGAGUCCGGCAUGGACCU
This is a transfer RNA of Sporothrix schenckii ATCC 58251, 89 nucleotides long. It matches the Rfam family "tRNA". Rfam says of the family: Transfer RNA (tRNA) molecules are approximately 80 nucleotides in length. Their secondary structure includes four short double-helical elements and three loops (D, anti-codon, and T loops). Further hydrogen bonds mediate the characteristic L-shaped molecular structure. tRNAs have two regions of fundamental functional importance: the anti-codon, which is responsible for specific mRNA codon recognition, and the 3' end, to which the tRNAs corresponding amino acid is attached (by aminoacyl-tRNA synthetases). tRNAs cope with the degeneracy of the genetic code in two manners: having more than one tRNA (with a specific anti-codon) for a particular amino acid; and 'wobble' base-pairing, i.e. permitting non-standard base-pairing at the 3rd anti-codon position. The record is from Rfam. Lineage: Eukaryota; Fungi; Ascomycota; Sordariomycetes; Ophiostomatales; Ophiostomataceae.